Molecule: ribosomal RNA, 253 nt
Filed under: uncultured bacterium
Lineage: Bacteria
Description: partial 16S ribosomal RNA
Rfam family: Bacterial small subunit ribosomal RNA
Source: RNAcentral
UACAGGGGGUGCUAGCGUUGUUCGGAAUUGCUGGGCGUAAAGGGCGCGUAGGCGGUUCAACAAGUCUGUUGUGAAAUCCCGGGGCUUAACUCCGGACGUGCAGUGGAAACUGUUGGACUUGAGUGCAGUAGAGGUUGGUGGAAUUCCCAGUGUAGAGGUGAAAUUCGUAGAUAUUGGGAGGAACACCGGCGGCGAAGGCGGCCAACUGGACUGCAACUGACGCUGAGGCGCGAAAGCGUGGGGAUCAAACAGG